Molecule: RNase P RNA, 235 nt
Filed under: Ruminococcus bromii
Lineage: Bacteria; Bacillati; Bacillota; Clostridia; Eubacteriales; Oscillospiraceae
Also listed under: 1 other name
Description: partial RNase P RNA component class A
Rfam family: Bacterial RNase P class A
About the family: Ribonuclease P (RNase P) is a ubiquitous endoribonuclease, found in archaea, bacteria and eukarya as well as chloroplasts and mitochondria. Its best characterised activity is the generation of mature 5'-ends of tRNAs by cleaving the 5'-leader elements of precursor-tRNAs. Cellular RNase Ps are ribonucleoproteins.
Source: RNAcentral
CGAGUGUGUUGAACAGCUGCGAGCAGCUGCCGAAAGGUACUGUGCGAGGAAAGUCCGGGCUUCACAGAGCAAUAAUAACGGCUAACGGCCGCCGGAGGCGACUCCAGGGAUAGUGCAACAGAAAAUUACCGCCAUUAUAUGGUAAGGAUGGAAAGGUGAGGUAAGAGCUCACCGGAGGGCAGGAGACUGCUCUGCCGUGUAAACCCUAUUUGAAGCAACACCGUGGUAGGACAUU